Molecule: ribosomal RNA, 319 nt
Filed under: Streptococcus suis
Lineage: Bacteria; Bacillati; Bacillota; Bacilli; Lactobacillales; Streptococcaceae
Description: bacterial SSU rRNA
Rfam family: Bacterial small subunit ribosomal RNA
Source: RNAcentral
CAGUAUUUACCGCAUGGUAGAUAUUUGAAAGGAGCAAUUGCUUCACUAUGAGAUGGACCUGCGUUGUAUUAGCUAGUUGGUGAGGUAACGGCUCACCAAGGCUUCGAUACAUAGCCGACCUGAGAGGGUGAUCGGCCACACUGGGACUGAGACACGGCCCAGACUCCUACGGGAGGCAGCAGUAGGGAAUCUUCGGCAAUGGGGGCAACCCUGACCGAGCAACGCCGCGUGAGUGAAGAAGGUUUUCGGAUCGUAAAGCUCUGUUGUAAGAGAAGAACUGUGAGAAGAGUGGAAAGUUUCUCACUUGACGGUAUCUUAC